This 200-nucleotide unclassified non-coding RNA is filed under the name fungal sp. RNAcentral's name for it is "partial internal transcribed spacer region". The stretch from base 1 to 46 matches the Rfam family "Eukaryotic small subunit ribosomal RNA", at positions 1786 to 1831 of the family's 1831-position model. The record is from RNAcentral. Lineage: Eukaryota; Fungi.
AAGUCGUAACAAGGUUUCCGUAGGUGAACCUGCGGAAGGAUCAUUACCAAAGUUUUUAUACUUUUGUAUGUGCACUGUUGGCCUGCCCUGGUGGUUUGGACUGUAAAAAGUCUAGGCCACCAUGUAAAUACGUAUACUUUCAGCUGACUUUUAUAUUUUAAAAUAAAAGACAACUUUUAGCAACGGAUCUCUAGGCUCUC